RNAcentral lists this ribosomal RNA (194 nucleotides) under uncultured beta proteobacterium GT03-2. Its description in RNAcentral is "partial 16S ribosomal RNA". It matches the Rfam family "Bacterial small subunit ribosomal RNA", at positions 338 to 524 of the family's 1533-position model. Lineage: Bacteria; Pseudomonadati; Pseudomonadota; Betaproteobacteria. The record is from RNAcentral.
CCUACGGGAGGCAGCAGUGGGGAAUUUUGGACAAUGGGCGCAAGUCUGAUCCAGCCAUGCCGCGUGCGGGAAGAAGGCCUUCGGGUUGUAAACCGCUUUUGUCAGGGAAGAAAAGGCUCCUUCUAAUACAGGGGGCUCAUGACGGUACCUGAAGAAUAAGCACCGGCUAACUACGUGCCACCAGCCGCGGUAAU